This 584-nucleotide ribosomal RNA is filed under the name uncultured bacterium. Its description in RNAcentral is "partial 16S ribosomal RNA". It matches the Rfam family "Bacterial small subunit ribosomal RNA", at positions 355 to 1375 of the family's 1533-position model. The record is from RNAcentral.
UGGGGAAUUUUGGACAAUGGGCGAAAGCCUGAUCCAGCAAUGCCGCGUGUGUGAAGAAGGCCUUCGGGUUGUAAAGCACUUUUGUCCGGAAAGAAAUCCUUGGCUCUAAUACAGUCGGGGGAUGACGGUACCGGAAGAAUAAGCACCGGCUAACUACGUGCCAGCAGCCGCGGUAAUACGUAGGGUGCAAGCGUUAAUCGGAAUUACUGGGCGUAAAGCGUGCGCAGGCGGUUUGCUAAGACCGAUGUGAAAUCCCCGGGCUCAACCUGGGAACUGCAUUGGUGACUGGCAGGCUAGAGUAUGGCAGAGGGGUAGAAUUCCACGUGUAGCAGUGAAAUGCGUAGAGAUGUGGAGGAAUACCGAUGGCGAAGGCAGCCCCCUGGGCCAAAUACUGACGCUCAUGCACGAAAGCGUGGGGAGCAAACAGGAUUAGAUACCCUGGUAGUCCACGCCCUAAACGAUGUCAACUAGUUGUUGGGGAUUCAUUUCCUUAGUAACGUAGCUAACGCGUGAAGUUGACCGCCUGGGGAGUACGGUCGCAAGAUUAAAACUUAAAUGAAUUGACGGGGUCAUAGCUGUUUCCU